CCUACGGGAGGCAGCAGUGAGGAAUAUUGGUCAAUGGGCGUACGCCUGAACCAGCCAAGUCGCGUGAGGGAUGACUGCCCUAUGGGUUGUAAACCUCUUUUGUCAGGGAGCAACGCCGGCUACGUGUAGGCGGACUGAGAGUACCUGAAGAAAAAGCAUCGGCUAACUCCGUGCCAGCAGCCGCGGUAAUACGGAGGAUGCGAGCGUUAUCCGGAUUUAUUGGGUUUAAAGGGUGCGUAGGCGGAAUGCCAAGUCAGCGGUAAAAUCGCGGGGCUCAACCUCGUGCUGCCGUUGAAACUGGCGUGCGUGAGUGGGCGAGAGGUAUGCGGAAUGCGUGGUGUAGCGGUGAAAUGCAUAGAUAUCACGCAGAACUCCGAUUGCGAAGGCAGCAUACCGGCGCCCAACUGACGCUGAAGCACGAAAGCGUGGGUAUCGAACAGGAUUAGAUACCCUGGUAGUC
RNAcentral lists this ribosomal RNA (460 nucleotides) under uncultured bacterium. Its description in RNAcentral is "partial 16S ribosomal RNA". It matches the Rfam family "Bacterial small subunit ribosomal RNA", at positions 338 to 795 of the family's 1533-position model. The record is from RNAcentral.